GUCAACAUACCCCUGGGGCACACUGUCCCCUCCUUUUCUACAGGCCUCUCAAUUGUCCCUUGGAAUUUUCCUUCCUUUGGAUCCACUUGUCUGCAGUUCAAGAGUCAGUGCAGAGGCCAGGACUCAGCAGCCUCCACUUAAGUGAAGCUGACCUUGCGUAUCCACCUGCCCCCACUUGCCACUACCUAUGAGUCUCCUUAACUUUCUUCCCACCACCGCUCACCCCCAUCUCAGUCCAAAGCAAGCUCAGAGACACACUGAAUAUUCUAUUCAUGGACACAUUCCCAGAGCCUGCCAAACCUCAGAAGUCAAACAACCACUCACAGAGCAAAGGAAAAUAUACACCAACACCAGAACCCAAUUCCCAAAGCUCUGUGAGCCCUGCUUUUUCAGUCUUCAAAAUAGGAGUGCAGGGCUCAGUGGGGAGAAUCCAUAUUCCCAGCUCCUUUUGCAGCUGAGGCAGGAGGAUCACUGGAGACAAUAGCCUAGGCAAGAGAGGAAGACCUCAUCUUAAAAAGCUAAAUGAUUUCAGCCCAGUACCACCUUGGUGGGAUAAGGGAGGUGCCCUGGUGACUUGAAUGGAGAGGCAGUAAGAUAGUCUUCUGUGGUAACUUUCCAUUAGACCACUGAGGUCAUUUAACACAGGAAAAACAACCCACCCUGGGACCCAAGCAUCUGGAAUGACCUGCUUUCAAUAGGAAAAGGUUGUACCCCUCAUAUCCCAAAAGGCUGUCUCCAUAGAAGUCUGUAAUGCCUGAGGCUGGGGAUUCCAAGAGUGUGCCCCCUGGCAGAAGGAGGGGUCCAGGGCUAGGAUUUGGACAGGGGGAGGGAGACUGUAAACACAGGCCUGCAUGUGGACUGGUGAAUCCCAACAAAGGCCAGGGAUGCAGUAGACAUUCUGGGACCACUGACUCUUUGAUGGUAGGACCUCUACCUGGCACAGUAGGAAGGAAGGAGGCUUGUGUCUGGUCACCAUCCUAAUGUGGUAGGGAGCAGGGUAUGGGUUAAAUUGCUUUGUGUUAAGGAGAGGGAACUUGGGGUUCUAGAAAGCCUGGGAAGCUCAGUCUGUCUUCCUUAUUUGAGAUGCUGCCAACCUCUUCCCAUAGGCUUAUUUGCAUAGUGUCAUGGUCUUGUAUCCUGUCCUACCCUGGCCCCAACACCAAAACUAGAGAAAUAACACCAGUAAAUAUUAGCCACUUUCCUCUCAUAAUCUGUUCCCUCAUGCGACCCCUUCCCCAAGACCCUCUGAUCCCUCCUUUCUGUGGUAGGCAGGUGCUGCAGGGACCAGCCCACCCUAGUGCAUAGUUCUCCAGCCUGGAUACUUAGCUGGAGUUGAAGUUCCCAUUGUUAGUACUGAUGCAUAUUUAUUGAACAUGUGGAUGUACUCAGCACUGUGUGAGGCACUGUCCAUACACCAGGUAGGUGAAUGUUAUACCCAUUUUACUGAUGGGUAACUGAGGCACUACAAUAUUUAUUUAAAGGUUGCACACCAACUCAACUAAGACUGCCUCCAGAGCCCUUGUCUCCUCACCUCUGUAGCAUCCCCACAAUGUUGCCCUGCCCACUGCUACAUCCUCAGGGAUGCAUCCCUGAGUCCUGGGCACACACAAAUGCGCCCAGGUUAUAGCUUUCUUCCUGAGGCUCCUGACUACAAAACUGGCUCCAUCUGGGGAAGCAGACACCAGAAAGCCAUGAGAGAGCAGCAGAGAGACAGAUAGAGGCACUCCAAAGGGUGAGAAGCAAAGGCCUGAGGUCUGGAUCAUUUGACUGGCACCACAAGACUCAGGUUCUGUCUAAACAUUUGCCCCUCAUCACUGCUGAGCAGAGGAGAAAGGGACUAAUAGAGCAGCUGAGGAACCGUCGAGUUCAGGGAGCUGGAAAUGCUGGCCCUGAAGCAGAAAGCCCUACCUCCAAUCCUUGCUUCAAUCUGGAGCCCUUGGCCACUGCUGGCCCACUGCAGAAGGUACAAAGCCAUCUGAGGAGCUCUUCACAGGGUCUCAGUCCAACCAUGUUGCAGCCACAUCUAAAUCAAGUCCCUUUUGUAGGGGUGGACCUUCUUCCAUAUCGAAACUCCAGUAUUGAUGGCAGGAUUGACUGACAGUGUGCACUAAGUCCCGCACAGCAUCUCUGGAUAUGUGACCCACGUGCUAUCUGUCCUCAGGACACUAUGGUGACCAGCUGCAGAGUAUGGGGUUCUAUCAGCUCAGAACGGACCAUUGGGUCUUAGCUUUGGUGUCUUGGUGAUAUGCCUGUCUGAGUCCACUGUGGUUCUGGUUCCUGGGCCAUCCUGGGGCACGCUGUUGGGUUUGGGAUGCUGAUGUGCAAUGAUGUCAGGUACAUGAUGGGAAGUGCAAAGUGAAAGGGCAUAGGAUAUGCACAUAGAAUUUUAAAAAAGCAGAGGAUUGACAGUCACCUUAGCUGGCGUCGCUGGUCCUACCAGAUCUGUGUGGUCUUCUGCAAUAUGCUAUCUGCACCAGCCUCUGGUCUACUUGCAGUUCAUCCCUUGCUUUAACCAGCACCUAUGGCGCCGGUUUCUGCCUUCUGCUCUUUGAGAAAGACAAGUCCGGUUUCUGCCUUCCACUCAUUGAGAAAAACAAGUCCUUGAGAAAAGCAAGUCCCUAUUUGGCUGUUCCUGCUUGGCCUGGUCGCUUCCGCAUAGUACAACCUAUCCGCUGUACCCACAUGGCUUGCUAGGAUUGGCUAGUGCUAGCUAUUUAAGUGUGGUUUGGGGAUUUCCCGGGGUCAGAAGAUUGUAUCAUGGUUCCUGAGUAAAUCUGCUUGAAGAUCUUCGCUGGUCGUGUCUUCCUUGCUGGUCGAGGUUGGGCGCGACACCUAUCUAUCUGACUAUGUCAGUUUGGCAUUUGAAUUUCAAAGAUCCUACAGUAAUGUUGCUCCAAGUAUCAGACAGUGAGUAAACUCUCAGUGAGGUGGAGCUGAGCAUGCAGACUCCGUGUAGAGCAAACCAUGUCUGAUGCCAGCAUGUAUCAGUUUCAGGCUAUUGCUGCUUGAGAGUUAGAGCAUGUGAACCUUGAACCUACUUAGGACUUUGAUGUUGAGUAGAAAGAAUGUUCAAAGUAGGCAGAUUUUAAAUCAGGACAAGUAUCAAAGAAAGCCUUGGCAUAAUGUGUUUGAUAGACUCCUCUGACUUCCUAGUAUGGAACUGUAGUAAACACAGCCUUUAUGACACGUUUGUGUGAGCACAAUCUGUGGCAGACCUUGCUUUAUUCCCAAGGAACCCAUACAGUGGGAAGAGCACAUCCUCAGUGAAGCACUGCAAAAGCCUUGAUCUCUUUAUGCAGGAAGAAGACUGGACUCACUUUCCUGUAUUUGACAGCACAUUUGUGUCCUAUUCAGGGAACAGAGAUGGUAUUUGGCAAAGUUGUUUGACCAAGCACAAGCUCCCAGCACGACUGACUCUGGAUCUGUGGGCUCAGAGCAGUAUUGUUGCCGAUGGAAAAAGGACUGAAGAGAGACGCACACACAUGCACCCCAGGAGCUGAGCACGGAACACUCGGGACUCACACAUCAUAAGUCGUGUCAACUUCCAGUGUCUUCCUGGCUGCCUUUGGAUCAAGAUGUAGAGCUCUGUGCUCCUCCAGCACCAUGUCUACCUGUACACUGCCAUAUUUCCUGCCAUGACAUUAAGGGACUGAACCAUUAAACUGGUAAGCCAGCCACAAUUAAAUGAUGUUCCUUUAUAAGCGUUGCCCUGGUCAUGGUGUUCCUUCAUAGCAGUCAAACCCUAAGAUAGCAGAUUAGAUACUAAAUGUUUAAAAUGCUAAAUGUUAUUUUUUCUUUCUCUUGUUAAUUUUUCUUUCUUUUGAUUUUUGAGAUAGAAUUUGUCCCUGUAGUCAAGCCUGGUGUAGAGCUGAUCAGAGUCCCAGUGCUAGAAGUAGAGCCCUGAACCACCAUGCACAGCUCUUUAAUUGUUUUAAGUAGCCUAAGCUAAUUUAAUUAAGCUUAGAAUUGAUAUUAAACACUGAGAGGACACGUGAGGUAUCUAAGCCAUAAUCAAAGAGCAAGAGAAGGAGACAACAUAAAAAAAAGCUUGAUACAAAAAGUAACAAGGUGUGCAAGCUGAACCAAACAAAACUAGUCCUUUGAUUGUUCAAAAUAAGUAACUAGGCAAAGAUAUUCCAGUAUUCUUUCCCAUGGGAAAAAAUUGUCUUCGGACAUUUAAAACACUGCUGAUAAUUUUAGGUUACAAAAUGAUAUAGAGGAGUCAGACCUGUUGGCUUUUGUUUAAUUCUCAAGAGAAAGAGAACUGCAGGGGCAGUGAAGAAAGAAUUCUUUUUUUUAAAAAAAAGAAAAAAAGGUAAAGGGAUUUGAGAGAUGACUCAGUAGGUAAGAGCCCUGGCUGUUCCCCCAGAUGACUGGGGUUUCAUUCUCAGCACCCAAAUGUCAGCACCCAGCUCUCUAGAACUCCAGUUCCAAGGGGUCUACUGCCCUCUUCUGGCUUCUGUGGGCACUGCAUGCAGGUGGUGCACAGACAUCCAUGAAAGCAGAACACCCAUACUUAGCAUAUUAGCUUUUGAAAUUUGGGCAGCUGGAAAGAUUAUGUGUAGCAAAUCAUGGUACUAUGUGCCUAGUACACUGGAGAUGGAGGCAGGAAAUCAUGAAUUAGUUCAGUUAAGCUACAGUGCAAGAUUCUCAUAGUAAAACAAGCAAAAGGGAUUAUAGGUCAAAAGAACUCCUUGGAAUUUAAUUUAAUCAUGUACUUUUUUAUUUCUAUCUUUUAAAAGAUUUUUCAACUAUUUUUAUUCUGUGUCUGUUCAAGCAUACAUGCCUGUGUACCGUCUAAUACAAUGCCCAUGGGUAGAAGAGGGUGACUUGAUCCCCUGAAAUUGGAGUUAGGUGUGGCUCUGAGUGUCCAAGUAGGUGCUGAGAACUUAACUAGGUUCUCUGCAAGGGCAGCAAGUGCUGUCUGCCACUGAGCCAUCUGUCUAGACUCCUGUUAUCUCUUUCUAAAAGGAAAAAGGAAAUUUACUGUAAUGACGAUGCUGUUAGACUGUAGACCUUUCCCAGGGACAGAAGGCUCUUGCAUCACAUCCCAAAUGCCUGCUUCAUAAAAAGAAGAAAUCACCAAAGAUUAUCAUCACAGCCUGGGAGUGGAGCCACCUCCGCACUUGGUGAAAAGGUCCAGCCCAGUUGUAGAGGGCCGCAAUAACAUUCGCCACCACAAGAUGGUGCUGGCUUCCACUGCGCCCCACGUGGAAAGCAGGGAUAGCUUUCUCCAUUACAAGAUGGGACUGGUCUCCGCCGGGCCAGCCGACUUCCUUUCAGGAAGUUAACUGUGUGCACAUGUGCAAGAGUGCCUUCGUGCCAGGUCUUUGCCCACUCCAGGGUGUGCCUAAUGAGAUCAUGGGUAAGCAACCAAUCAGGUGUGGAUGAGCCACACUAGGGUGUAUAUAAGCCGCUCCAUGCCAGCGCCCCUGGCCCCUCUCUUUAAGAUUCAAUAAACGUUUUAGCUGCAGUAGGAUUCGUGUGUCCCUGUGUGUUCUUGCUGGCGAGACGAUAGCAUGGGAUAUCUGGUGCCGGAAACCCAGGAAAGAAACGCCACACCAUCGCCAGGCACUGAGAGAGGAGUCCUCCGUCUGCGGAGGGAAUCCAGAACUGUAGUGAUUAAGGUAGGCUCUGAGAGAUAUGUUUGGUCUUGAUCUGUUCCACUUCUCUCCCCUGCUAGAAGAUGCGGCGGAAGUUUUUAUUAUCGUUUUAGCAGCCCUCGUGCUUUCUCUUUUGGUUUUUGGUUUUGUGGCUGCCACUAGGCACCGUCAGAGGUCGUGCCUAGAAGAUGGGAAAUGCCGCCCAACUGUGGUGGCGGGGCGGAGAGUGCUAGGGAAGUUACAAGGUAGCAUGUCAGAAACAGAGUGGGAUUAAAAAAUUAAAGAGCUCAAGGAGAAAAGAUAAAUAUAAGCAAAAAGGCCCUUCCAAGGACCUUGGAUGGGAGGAAGCGAGAGGUUGGGGAAAGAACGCCCCAGGAGAGAUGAAACAGAAAAAGGAGAAAAAAGUUUUGAAAAGGAGAAGUCUUUAUCCGGUAAAGGAGCUAGAGUCUUCAGAGCUUGAUAGCUCAGAGACAGACGAGCUUAGCUCCUCUGAGGAAGAGGAUUUAAAAGAUGAGGCAGCUCGCUAUGAAGAAGAGCUUCACAGAGUCAUACUGAUCAGAUUUUAUAGAGGUAGACCGCCUGAAAAUUUAUUCAGGAGAAUCAAACAAAAGGACAUCUCAAUGCCCAUGCACAGCUUGAUGGAGUUAAUGUAAUUGGGUUGUGAGUGGAAAUAUUCAGGACUGUGUUUCACUUCCAUACCAUUUGUGAAUGUCAGUCGUGCUGCUCAGAUAUCCUGUAAUAUAUCUCAGUAUCUUACAGGAAUUUGGUUUCAACACGUUGAUGGACUAGUCCAGGAAUUGAGACAAUCCAUCGUCCAUAUCAACUCCACUAGAGUGGAUAGUCACCGUGGAAGUGGUGGGAAAGGGGAAAUCCUACCUCUCUGCAGACACCAUCUAGUUUUUCCUCUUUGUCUAUUGUCUGUCCUUGGUGCACCAAGCUGUCCGUGUAUGUCAGUUUAUGUCUGUGGUUUUUGUUUCUUGUUGCUUAAAUGUUUUAUGUUUCAUGUUCAAAAGAGAAAAUGGUAAAAACUUUAUCUGCCAGUCGUUCACAUCUUGAUUUGAUUUUAACUCGUUUCAAAAAAGGAACAAGUGAAUAAAAAGCAGUUUCAAUCAGUCCUUGGAGCCCUGUAUCUGUAGCCAGGUGUCUAGGUCAGCUGGAGAAGCUGUGCAGGAGUGAGCGUCUACAUGAGCUGAUUAUUUGACUCAACAGGUGACUAGGUGCUUCUCUUAAAAUCAUAGCUAAAAAGGUAAAAAUGGUGCUUGGUCUAAAUAUUAAAGAUAUGCGUAGCCACUUCAAUUUUGUUUCUCAUUGGUUUUAAAUGUAUAAAUAUGCUCUACAUGCCUUGGUUAUGGACUAUUGGCUUUUAAGUUAUUGGAUAUGGUUAAAAAGGUAUAAUAUUGGUAACAGAAAGUUGACAUAAAGCUGGUAAUUUGGAUAAAGUCAUUCUAGACAACAUGUGGCAUGAGCCAACCUAGGGAAACAGGUCUAAAUUGAGAUAAUAUUUUUAUGGAAUUCUUACUCUAGAAACCAGGCUUCUAAAAGAAUUUAGGGCAAUGUCUCUUUGUUGAGGUAUUAGAGACCGCACCAUCGUGCAUUCAUAUGUAGGAAAUGGCAGUCAAACUUUGUAGCAUGAAGUACUAAGUACUAAGUACUGUUCCUUUGUAGGUCAUUUGGGAGCUCAAACUGGAUUGCCUGGACCCCUUAGCAAGGGAGGACAAUGAUACCAGGCAGAUUAUAGGCCUUACAUAGAAGCAAUUAGUCAAAAAAAAAUCUCAUUCUUUAUAUAUCCAAAACAAUAAUGCUAGAGAAAAUAAUUUGGUAUACAAGUCAAUUUAUAAAUACGAGUGCUCAGUGUCCUCAAAUUAAUCCUCGAGGACUUACCUUAAUAAAUAAUAUCUUUACUAUAUCUUAAUAAAUAAAAAGGGGGAGUUAUCCCUGUAUGCUAAAUAAUGCUCCUUUUAUUUCAAUUUUAAAAUUUGGGUGCCAAGGAACACUCUGAGUGUUUAUGGCACCCUACAACUAGGCAUAAUUCUGCCUAGGUGAAAUAGAAAGAUCCACAUAUUGGCAUGAUCCUGUUCAGAUAUUUUAUGUGGGGAAGAGGGAAUUUUUGUGUUUUUUCUACAGGAUGCUGCAAGAGUAUGCCAGCUGCCAGAGGUGGUUGCUGAGACUUGCUGAUCCUGGGAGCCUGAAGAUUCAGCUCUCGUGGUUCGGGUCCCUGGAGUCAUUCCUCUGCCCUGAGAGGAAGGUGGAAGAUUCCCACUCAUCUUUUGUCAUCACAGAGAUUUUGGCGUUGCUGCAGUCAGUGUUACUGGUGCGUGUGUCCCGUCCCACUGUGGCCUGCUCUCUGACCCUCUGUGCACUGCUGCUUUCUGGAGAAGACUGGACUCCAGCCGUUGCUGCCCUCCUCAUUCCCCUGGUGACUCUUGCUGCCUUAACUGGUGUUGUCAUUUUGUAGUCUAUAGCUUCACAGGAAUGCCACCUGGGUAAAGCUGCUGUGGACUGGGGAACUCUGCCCUGGUUAUGCAGAUCUCAGACAUAGUUCCAUUGUUUGCUGGUUGUUCCAGAGAAGAAUGACCAAUCCUAAACUGUCCUGGGAAAGACCUUGUUACUUUCACUGCUAUUGUAGCAGCCAUUUACUGCUAUAGCCAUUGUGUCUGCAGUGUCUGGAGUUACCCUCCCCCCAAUCUAUUUUUAGGCAAGCACAGUGGGUGAACUUUCUGGAGUAGUUGCUGACAAUUGGGAUUUCUAAAUUGUAUUAUAGGAGCGGCUUGACUACGGCCCUUGGUGGUAACAGCUGAGGUGAACCGGAUGAGGUGCCCACUACUUAUCGGGGGUGGCUCUGUUUGGUGCAGCCCUAUGCUGUGGAUUAGUGUUCAUGCUAUGGUUGGUUUGCAAACUCAGAUCUCAACAGAAACAUGACAAGGUCGUUGUCACUCAAGCACUUGUGGCCAUUGAACAAGGGGCCUCCCCUAGAAUUUGGUUAUCUAUGCUCAAGAAAUAGUCGACAUCUGAGUUCUCUGCUCUUGCACCCCAUGGAUCUGUGGAUCCAUUGCACUGGGAUGAGAGAGACUCAAUGAUUCUUUGAUCAGCCCUUCUACAUCGCUGAUGUUUCCUCAUUGCACGCAAUAGGGUGAUCAUGAUUUCCCCACCAACUCAUUUUCUGGCUGGCCUCUUUUUAGAGUUCGCCCUAGGUCAUUUAACAGUUACUGUCACACAGCACUGCGGUAUCCAGAGACGGGCAACUUUCCUCAUGCACAGACCAAUCUAAGACACGGGGCCCAGUGGCGAUAGGGUUACCCUUCGACGGAUAAGGCUGUGACAUAGAGGAACGACCUAAGACAGGAGCCACAGCAGAUGGACGUAACUGCAGGGACCUAGACCAGCCUAGACAAUAAUUUAUUGUUAUUAAUAAAACAAUAAGGGGGAGAGGAUGUCCCGUGCUAUCUUCUCGCCAGCAAGAACACGCGGGGACACACAAAUCCUACUGCAGCUAAAACGUUUAUUGAAUCUUAAAGAGAGGGGCCAGGGGUGCCGGCAUGGCGCGGCUUAUAUACACCCUAGCCGCAGCGCAUCCACACCUGAUUGGUCGCUUACCCAUGAUCUCAUUAGGCACGCCCCGGAGUGGGCAAAGACCUGGCACAAAGGCACUCUUGCACAUGUGCACACAGUUAACUUCCUGAAAGGAAGUUGGCUGGCGCGGCGGAGGCCAGCGCCAUCUUGUAAUGGAGAAAGCUAUCCCGGCUUUCCACGUGGGGCACAGUGGAAGCCAGCACCAUCUUGUGGUGGCGAAUGUUAUUGCGGCCCUCUACACCCAGUGACCUCUCAAACCUCAACCUGCUUAGGAGUCAUCUGCCAGUGUAAAGUUCCAAAACUGGGAAGCAAGACUUUAGCGCUCCUAGGAGUUCCCAGGUCAGGCAGUGCAAGGCCCACCCAGAAGAGGCCAAUCUUCCCCAGUCACCACCUGGUUUACACAGGCUCUUUCCCACGAUGAAACAAAGCCAGGAAUGGCUCUCAGCUCAGUCCUAUCACUGCACACAGGGCACAACAGCUGGGCCUCAUCUAAGAUCUUAGGACUGCUGUCGUUCCUGGGUUAUUUCAUUUGCUGAUAAUUUGUCCUUGUCCUCUAAUAGAGAACAGAUUGCAGAAUUAGUUAGAGCAUGGAUGCAAUGGCAGCCAUUUUCCAGUGGGGUUAAUAGGAUAGAAUUUGUGACUUCCCUGAGAAUGCUAUUUGAGGGCAGGGGCUUUGGAUUUCUUCUCAGCAGUAUCCUUAGCUGCUAGAGAGAGUAGAGCCUUCCUGAACAAUCAGAGAGAGAGAGAUGUAAUAUUUGCCGUGUGUGUGUGUGUGUGUGUGUGUGUGUGUGUGUGUGUGUGUGUUUGUCCCUCAAGGGGCAAUGAGGGACAGGGGUAAAACUUGGGUACCACAGACCACUUCAAGGCCACUUCCAAUCCUAGCUUAGCUGUAGGAUUUUGCAGGGCACAAACACCAGAGCGAAUGUUCCUCAUGAAGUUCUAGGUAGGUACAUAAAAUCAGAGCAGGGGACAUAGUAGAGGGCAGAUCAACAAAAUCCAGAGUCCCCAACCCCCAAACCCUCAAUCCUAUAAGGGAAUGUGGUGAGUUGCCAAAGCAGAGAACUCAGAAGCAAAUAUCAAAGCCAGGAAGCACAGCCAGGAAUCCCAGACCAGAAAGAUGAAGAGAGAGAGCAAGUGGGUAGAUCACAGCUUAGAGGGGCCCAGGCCAACCGGGAGCAGGCAUUGGAAGCUUGCUUUAAUGUGCUUCCAGAGCCAAGAUGGGGUGGGCGAGUCAAGGUUACUGGGGCCAUGGAGGCUGGACAGAAUGGGAUUUCUGGGUCUUCUUGCUCCCCCGAGCAGAACCUGGAAAAAUAGUAUGAGGAGGUAGAAGCCAUACGGCCGUCUGCAAAGGGGGUGAGAACCUGGAUAUUCAGCCUGGAUCCAGGACUCAGUGUCUGCACUGUCACCAAAGAGCUGGCAUACACCUGCCUCAGUGUCCCUGGCAGGACUCAGGCUAGGUUUCAAGAAAGACUGGAAAGAAUCCCACUAAGUCUGCACCAUCCCUUCUGUGUUACAGGGUGGUAGCACAUAUUUGAAAUCCCAAUCUUUGCCACAGUCCGGGGUUAAAUUUCAUCCUUCACUAAAUCGUGAGUUUGACGCCAACCUGAGCUCUGUGAAAUCCUAUCUCGAAGCAAUGUUACUAAAGCAAAAAGGCAGAAUGAAAGCAUUAUGACAAAGUUCUAACUCCCAGCUUGGCCUUGUGGGUACAGGAUGGAAAAAAAACACAAACAUUAAUCUUUUCAAAAUUGUAUUUAAAAAAUAAAUAAAGUCUGACACUCAAAAGACUCAGGCAGUCAUCUGAGGACUUCCAAUUCCUUCUAGAAUGUGCUCCCUGACUGCCAGCGGGAUAAGUUUCCCUCCAAUGGAGCUGGUCAUCCGCUGUUGUCUUCUCCUGCAGUUCCACAGCCUCCUGGGCAACACAUCAUCCUUACAGCAGUGGAGUUACUUUACCCACAAGGUGACUGCUCUGAGGCAGAAGGUUUGCAGUGUAUUUUCAAGGUAUGUUUUUUGGCUAGUGUGAUAAAACACCAAAGAGAAGCAAGGUGUGGUUUGUGAGAAUCCCGUAUGUUGAGGGAGAUAAGGUAAGGUUACAGAAAGGGCUCUCACCAGAGGCAGUGGAACAGGUGGUCCAGCUCGGUCACCUCUACAUAGAUCAAUACACAGAGAGCUCAGGAUGGAACUGUGCUGGAUUGUAAUGUUCAAGCCUUGCUCUGAAACCUUCCAUAGCAGUGUCUCUAGCUGGGGACCAAGUGUUCAAACACACGGGCUUGUAGGGACAUCACACACUGAGUCCACAAUGCUAGAGUUGAGGUUAGUCACUGCUCUCACAGCCUCUUCAUCUGUGAAAAGAUCGUCUGUAGGAGCACAGUGCAGCUGUGAACAUGGAGCUUGAAAAUGUUUUAGAAGGGUUUUGUAAACUGAAGUGCAAGGAGGAACAGAGCAUGGCGGCGGAUGCCUGUCACAGAAGCCUUUGUUAUGCUGAGACAGGGUGGCAACUUUUGUCCCAAAUGUGUAGAUAGAUAUUGUCGUCAUGGUCAACAUCAUCAUCAUCACCUCCUUUUGCCUUAACUGUGUUUCCUCCAAAUUUUCUACUAGAUUGAAUGAUGUUGUAGAUUAGAAUUAAGUUUGACCCUAAUUCCAAAACAGUAUCAGGUCAUUCCAUAAUGAAAUGACUUAAACAUGAAAAAUGUAUUUCACAUAAAAUCUAUGAGAACAGUGUAACACUGUGGUCUUUCUGCUAUGUCCUGAGACAUGAGAUCAUCUAAGAUCAUCUCACAGUCCAGUGUAGUUACACUGCUACAUAGUCACACUACAUCCCGCCAUUACACCAUUCUCCCUACAAUUCCUUAGAACAAAGUACGUGCCCCUCCCUCUUAGGAAAUCUUUCUUCUUCUUACCUCCACUAGCCAAACAAUGGAAGCUGGGAAACAUGGUUUAUUCUGUCUAAAUAAAAAAAUGUGUCUGGUCCUCUUACUUGUAAGGGAGACAGGGGUCUCUACAUAGGUGGUCUCUUCUCCAUCCUCAUCUUCGUCUCUCUCAUCUCCCUCUGAAUAGCAGCAGCUGACCUCUGCUGACCCUAAAACCUUUUUGCUUUACCACUGAGAACCAAUCACACUCCUGCUUCUCCUCUUCUUUCUGUAAAUGUACCAUGUCUCAGCACAGGGCUGACCACGGCUUCUCUUCUCAGCCCCAACUCUCCUCUCAGUCAUGGCCCCAACUCCCAACCCAAAUAAGAACCUGCUGUCCUUCCUGAGUCUGGUCCAGGGAGGAACGUGUCCACUAAAGGGCAGGCCCAUGCAUCCAGGCAAGGCCCAUGCAUCCCUGCUCAGGACCAGGAGACAAGGGAGAAAGUGCAGCAGGUUCAUCAGGCAACAGGCCCCUCUGAAGCCCAGACUAGGUUGGUUUAACACAGUAGAGUGGUUGUUCUGAGUAAAGUGCCUGGUCUUGCUGUGGAACCAUGGCCAGCCUCCUAGUGUGCCCUUUCCAAGAGCAUUCUAACUCUUCAGUGCUGAGUUCAGUUCCUGCUCCCAUAGGCUUGGUUCUGCAGGGCCUGUUCCAGUGCUUACCUGCCCUGCGUGCACCUCUGGUCUGUGUGCUCCAGUGCACACCUGCCCUAUGUGCACCGAUGGUUUUUGUGCUCUGUAACAGGCGCAGAACUCCAUUCCUGCACAAAACAAAUCACAUGAGCACAGACAUCUGUGUUUUAGCAGAUUUCACUGAAGACUGAAGAGAUGAAUUUACAUAGAAAAAAUACAAAAAUCAUAAAAUUGAAUAUUAGAUUUCUGUACAGUCUAAAGAAGGACUCCAUUCCCAGUCCCUGGGUUCUGGCUGUCGAAGAAGGCACACGCCUAACUGUGCCCUUUUUAAUUCUCAAAGUCUAUAUACAAAAGCCAAUUCAUAGACAAUUUUUGAAAAUAUUUAUUUCAGAGAUUAGGCUCCACAGUGUAAGUCAUGGUGGUGUCAUUCUGCUUCUUGGGGUCAGGGGUUGGGAAUAGAGAGGAUCACAUCUGUGGAGCAAGGUGCUUGGCUGGGCAGAUCAGUUAGCUACAUUCUAUAAAGAGUCAAGCUUUUGGGGUAAAAGGCAUUUUCUUUUUGAUCUGUAAGAUGGGCUAUCUGAGGUGCCACUGACCCCUGCUACUACAGCUCUAAGAGGUUUUCAGCAGAGGGUCAGUCCCAGGUGGCCAUCAGGUAGAAACCCUGGGGGAAGCUCCCACUCUUCUGUUGUUUCUCUUCUAUGCCUGGGUGCCCAGAUAGUGUUUACACUGCUCUAGGGAAAAGGUCCCAAGCUCCCAGGUCCCAGGCUUCCCUCAGUCCUCUAUCCUCUGCCAUCUGACUCUGUCCCUAGUCUGGGAAAGACUGCGUGCACCAGAGACUAGGGACACAAGCUGUAUUGCAGAUGUCCAGGACACAAACAUUUGUACACAUGCAUACAUAGGGGUUGUUCUCCCUCUCUCUCUCUCUCCCUCUCUCUUUUGCUGUGUGUGUGUGUAUGUGUGUUUAUGUGUUUGUGUUUAUUCUGUUUCCUUUUGUGUGUACGCGUUUUUUUGUGUUGGGUCAGGGCAGAGUGUGGGUGGGGUGGGCACACUCUUCCCAUUCCUGUGACAUGUUGCUGGCACAAUCUGCUGAAGUAGUGUGACACCCUGUGAGGCAAAAGACCUCUCUCCUGUCCUUACAGCCAUUUCUGACAUUUCCUGCCUAACUAGAUAACACAUGGAGAUUUCCACUCCCAGGACGGAGGGGGCUCUCUUCCUAGGACUUUGGGGACCCUUGCUCAUCUCACCAGCUCAAUGAUUCAGGUGGCCCUGCCACCUCCACUCUCUUUUGCCUUUUGACUGGUUGCCAAUUGGAACAGAUCCAGAAAACAGUUUCCACCCCCAGACGCCCAUGGGAGAAGGCUGGAUGGGUUUGUACCCCUCAACAGUUCCAACUGCUCCUCUGCACAAACCCAAUGCUCCAGAGCUUUCCUCUAGAAAUAGCAUCAAAAGAAUGUACUCCCUUGCUUAACACGCCAAGUUCUAAGUAGCAUCCUAAGAGCAUUCCAAAGUGCACAUCUACAGGGGAGUGCAGGGGACAAAAAGGACUGAACUGCCUGCAUUCCAUCCUGGCCUGUUAGCUAAGGGUAAGUCCAACCUGGGUCAGUCAGCAUACCCCUGGGGCACACCGGACCCUCCCUUUCUAUAGGCCUCUCAAAUCUCCCUUGGAAUGUUCCUUCCUUUGGAUCCACUUGUCUGCAGUUCAAGACAAGUGGAUCCAAAGGAAGUGGAUCCCCCCUUCCCCCACUUUCCAUUUCCUAUGAGUCUCCUUAACUUGGUUCCAACCACCCCUCAUUCCCACCUCAAUCCAAAGCAAGCUCAGAGCCACCCUGACUAUUCUGUUCAUGGACAUAUUCCCAGAGCCUGCCACACCUCAGAAGUCAACCAACCAAUCACAAAGCAAAGGAAAAAACACACCAACACCAGAACCCAAUUCCCAAAGCUCUGUGAGCCCUGCUUUUUCAGUCUUCAAAAUAGGAGUGCAAGGUUCAAUGUGGAGAACCCAUAGUCCCAGCUCCUUGUGAAGCUGAGGCAGGACGAUCACUGGAGAGAAUAGCCCAGGCAAGAGAGGAAGACCUCGUCUUAAAAAGCUAAAUGUUUUCAGCCCAGUAUCAGCUUGGUGGGAUAAGGGAGGUUCCCUGUUGACUUGAAUGGAGAGGCAGUAAGAUAGUCUUCUAUGGUAACUUUCCAUUAUACCACUGAGGUCAGUUAACACAGGAAAAACAACCCACCCUGGGGCCCAAACAUCUGGACUGACCUGCUUCCAAUAGGAAAAUGUUGUACCCCUCAUAUCCCAAGAGGCUGACUCCAUAGAAGUCUGAAAUGUCUGGGGCUGGUGCUUCCAAGAGUGUGCUCCCGGGCAGUGGGAGGGGUCCAGGGCUAGGAUUUGAACAGGGGGCGGGAGACUGCAAACACAGGUCUGCAUGUGGACUGGUGAAUCCUGGACAAAGGCCCGGGAUGCAGUAGACAUUCUGGGACCUCUGACCCUGUUUGAUGGCAGGACCGCUACCUGGCACAGUAAGAAGAAAGGAGGCUUUUGUCUGGUCACCAUCCUAAUGUGGUAGGGAGCAGGAUAUGGGUUAAAUUGCUUUGUGUUAAGGAGAGGGUACUUGGGGUUCCAGAAAGACUGGUUAGCUCAGUCUGUCUUCCUCAUCUGAGAUGCUGCCAACCUCCUCCCAUAGGCUUAUUUGCAUAUUGUAAUGGUUGCUUAGCCUGUUUCCAACCCUGGCUCCAACACCAAAACCACAGAAAUAACACCAGUCAAUAUUAGCCACUUCCCUCUCAUAAUCUGUUCCCUCAUGCUACCUCUUCCCUGAGACCCUCUCAUCCCUCCUCUCUGUGAUAGGCAGGUGCUGCAGGGACCAGCCCAUCCUGGUGCAUAGUUCUCCAGCCUGGAUACUUAGCUGGAGUUGAAGUUCCCAUUGUUAGUACCUGUAGGGAGCCGGAUUGGAUUUGGGCCUGGCUGUUUUGUGACUGUAUAGCUCAAAGUGGCUACAUGACUCUUGGCCACACAUACUCCUCUAUUAUGACUGCCAUAAAGCCUCGAGAUUGUGGGACAAAAGCCUCUCCCAUGAAUUUACGGCACAGGAAGAUAAUAUUCACGGGAUGCUUCAGCCUAAGCAAAAAUCAGUUAUCUCCUGAGUCAACACCCGGUGUAUCCACUGCCUGACCUCAUCGUCUACCGCCUGACCUCUUUGCCUCCAGCUAUCACUGCCUAUAUCCUCAUCUCCCCCUCCUCUGUGUUUCACAAAGGUCACUUCCCCUACCUGAAAGCCUUAAAAGCUGUAACGUUCAUCCCAAUAAACGAGACCUUGACAAUAGAAUCUUGCUUGGUCUUCUUCUUCUCUCGGCCCCCAUAGGCCUAAGGGUACCGCACCUUCGGAACCCUGAAUAACUGGGUCCCCACUGGCAGGGACAAUACCGAUGCAUAUUUAUUGAACAUGUGGAUGUGCUCACCACUGUGUGAGGCACUGUCCAUACACCAGGUAGGUGAAUGUUAUACCCAUUUUACUGAUGGGGUAACUGAGGCACUACACCAUUUUUUAAAGGUUGCACACCAAAGUCAACCUAAACUAACUCCAGAGACCUUGUCGUCUCACCUCUGUAGCAUCCCCAUAAUGUCAUCCUCCCCACUGCUACAUCCUCACAGAUGAUUCUCUGAGUCCUGGACACACACAAACACACCCAGGUUAUGGCUUUUUUCCUGAGGCUCCUGACUACAAGAACUCGCUCCAAGUGGAGAAGCAGACACCAGAAAGCCUUGAGAGGACAGGGAGAGACAGAUCCAGGCCCUCCAGAGGGUGAGAAGCAAAGGGCUAAGGUUUGGAUCAUUUGACUGGCACCACAAGACUCAGGUACUGUACAAAUAUUCUCCCCUUCACAGGGCUGAGCAGAGGAGAAAGGGACUAAUGGAGCAGCUGAGGAACCCGUCGAGUUCAGGGAGCUGGAAAUGCUUGUCCUGAAGCAGAAAGCCCUACCUCCAAGCCUUGCUUCAAUCUGGAGUCCCUGCCCCCUGCUGGGCCACUGCAGAAGGUACAAAGCCAUCUGAGGAGCUCUUCACAGGGUCUCAGUCCAACCAUGUUGUAGCCACAUCUAAAUCAAGCCCCUUUUGUAGGCGUGGACCUUCUUCCAUAUCCAAAUUCUGGUAUCGAUGGCAAGAUUUACUGACAGUGUGCAUUAAGUCCUGCACAGCAUCUCUGGGUGUGUGACCCACGUGCUUUCUGUCCUCAGGAAACUAUUGUGGCCAGCAUCAGCGUAUUGGGUUCUAGCAGCUCAGAACAGACCACUGCGUCUUGAGCUUUGGUGUCUUGGUGAUAUGCCUGGCUGAGUCCACUGGGGUUCUGGUUCCUGGGCCAUCCUGGGGCAUCUCAGGGUAUCCUUCCAGCUUGCCUCCUGGUGCCCCCUUCUCCCAUGCCCUUCUGGGUUCAUACAGGCUAAACCAGCUCCUCUGAAAAUGCUUGAUACCUUGGGUUUAUUGGGGGUUGAGCACUACGAGAUCAGGCAGUUUGCCUCUGGUAAGAAGAGAACUGGCAACUCUGCUUGGUUCUCCUGGCUCUUUUGGGGGCUGUCCCUGAAGGAUCCCUCCCAGGUACCCAUUUCCUUGACUUUCCCCGCACCAUUGUUCUCUGAGUCUCUCAUUCUUUCACCAGGCGGUAGAUGUGGUGCUGAGCCCAGUGUUCGCUUGUUGGCAGUGGCAGAUACCAAGUCAUCUCACUGACACAUUCUUUUGUAUUUCAAUUAAGGAAUUCUUUUACACAUCUGCGUGUGUGUGUGUGUGUGUGUGUGUGUGUGUGUGUGUGUGUGUGUGUGUGUAAGUGUGUAAACAUGUACUUACCUUGCUGGGUUGGCCUGAUAUUGUUUGACAGGAUUUCAUGGUUUCUAACUCCACCCAUUUUCCUACAAAUGAAUUAGAGAAGUCUGAUUCUUUGUCUGCUCUUGCUUUCCCAAGACAAGGUCUUGCUUUUAGGAGGACACCCUGGACCUCUCCAUGUAGACCAGCCUGUCCCCUAAGUGCCAAGAUAAAAGGUGAGUGCUACCACUGCUUGGCAACACCAAUUCUCCUUCAUUUUACCCUAAGCAAUACAAUGGUAAAAACAAAGACUCAGGGUUUGUUUCUUUGUUUCUUUGCUUGUUUAUUUGAGAUUGUGUUUCUCUGUGUAGCCCUGGCUGUCCUGGAUUUUGCUCUGUAGAUGAGGGGCUAUCAAGCACUGGGAUUUAAGGUGUGUUCUACCACUGCCCAGGAGAAGAAUGGUUUUUCCGUGAGACUUCUUCACUUACCACACAACACAGAGGGGAAUGCCACAUGAACCAGAGUGCAUGCUGUGAAUUGACAAUCCUGAUGCAGGUUCUGAGACCUACAACUCUGGUGCAGAAACCAGGAAGGUCUGGGUAGGGAGUUGGGCACAAGUGAGAAACAGUCUUACACCACUAGGUGACACUCAAGUACCAGUUUUCUUUCCUUUGGCACCUAUUUCUACAGUGAAAUCUUGUGUAAGGUGAUAAGGGGAUGUUAAGUAUGCUGUAAUUAAGAUGGCAUGGAAGACAGAUUACACACACAAAGAGAGCGAGAGCGAGAGCGAGAGCGAGAGCGAGAGCGAGAGCGAGAGCGAGAGCGAGAGCGAGAGCGAGAGCGAGAGCGAGAGCGAGAGCGAGAGAGAGAGAGAGACUGCUGAGAAGGGCUAACCGUCGCCAUUUUGGAUGAACAGAACUUGUGAGUGAGGACACAGUCAUGCACAGAAGGAGAGAUAUUGUUUGCGGUGUCUGCGCUAUGCAUGGUUUACAUGGAGCUGUUCAGUAGGAGGAAGGAAAGCAAACAAUCCCAGCAGCAUCCAAGCCGAUGCUUAGCCUCUGAGACAAACCGUCCCCUAACUAAACGCUCUCCAUUCCCAACCCAGGACAGCGGCAGUCUCCCCCUGUGACCAUCAUAAUGCUGGGGGAAGGAAGGACAGCUGCAGGGUGUGCAGCAAGGCAGGAAGAGCAACCGUGAGUCCUGGAGGAUGUGGGUCAUCCACGGCUCAAGGUCUUCCUGUGACAAAUGAAGUGAGCAGGGACCUGAACCCAGGCAGGCUUUCUCCCACAUUCUCUAAGUCGUGUGAGCACCCCGGGAGACUGAGUAUGCCAGACUGGUCUGAAAACACAGAGACAGUGUGUGAGCUUAGGUUAUGCUGUGACUAGCACAGAGCAGAAAUGUUGCCCACCAAUCGGCAAGAAAGCAAAACAGUUAUGAAUCUGAAUGACCUGGAAAGGGACUGAAGGCAGAGCUAUGGUGACAAAUCUCAAAUGACAGACAUGGGGUCACAGGGAUCUGACCAGUGUUACCCUCAUCAACCACACCAGACAGACCCUUGUGGUGUCUUUGCUUGAACUAAGAUCUUGCUGUAUAUUCCAGGCUGACCUCAACCUUCAUUCCUUUGACUUCAGCCUCCUGAGUACUAGAAUUACAGAAGUCAUGCACCUAAUUUAUUACCUUUGACGAUACUUUAUAUACAUAUAUAUGUAUUAGAAACCUAUACAUUAUAUAAUAUUAUAUAUAUUACAUGUAUUAUGUUUGCAUGUGUGUGGAAUGGUGUGUGUGUGUAUGUGUGUUUGUGUUUGUGUGUGUGCAUAAUGUCUUCCAAGCCACCUUCAUCACAGCAUAAUUAGCACUCCCUUGUCAACUUACACAAAGGUUUUGUUGUGUUGUACUAUGUGCAUGGCUAAGUCAGAGGACAACUUGCAUGAGUAAAUUUUCUCCUUCAAAUAUGUGUGUUCUAGGAGUUGAACUUAAAUCAUCAGGCUUAAUGGCAAGCACUUUUGCUUAGUUAGCCAUAUUGCUGGCCCUUAUGAUAGAUAUCUUUGAAAUCAACUCACUUAUCUUUUUCUUUUUUCUUUAUUCCUUAUUUACCUUAGCAAUGCAAUCAUGAAAACAAGAACUCUGGCUCCUUUGUUAUUUGAUUUGGUUGAGACAAGGCUUCUCUGUGUAUUCUUGGUUCUCCGGGAACUCACUGUGCAGACCAGUCUGACCUCGGACUCAGAGACUAAAGGCAUAAGCCACCACACCCAGUUUGUUUAUAAGCAAAUUAACUAUUAGAUAAGAUAUGUCAGUAGAUGUAGUAUUUAUAAGACAUCCCCAUGUACCACGCUGGGAAGACCCAACACCAAAGAACCUCUCAGGCUACACACAAAGGCAGCCUGCUCCUGUCUCUCCAGCCUCUGCUCAUGUGACUUGCUCAGAGGAAGGCCCUUGGGGACUAGAACUCUGCUCUUGACAAAUCUUACUCAGUACCCGCACACCAGGCCUGGUACAUAGCUAUUACACUUUUCAACUCUGGGUGGCGCUUUGACAAAAGUCAAGCCCCUCAGUAUAAUACAUAUCAUGUGUACAUAUAUCUUACACAGAAACAUAUAUAUACACGCAUAUAUACACACAUACGUGUGUGUGUGUGUGUGUGUGUGUGUGUGUGUAUAGUACAUAGGUAUUGGGAGCGGCUAAAGAUGGCGCUGACAUCUAGUGGUUGUUUGUGGUAUACAACCAUUAAGCCGUGUCUUUGGCCUUCCUCUGGCACUUACAAGGCCAGGGUGAUAUGCAUGCUAAUAAGGUAUCUCAUACUCCACCAAUCCCCAGAGGACAAGUUUACAGCCACUGUCUGUCUUGUACUUAAGGCCUUUGUUCCCCGGGGUCCCCCAUAUCAAGAAUGAGGUGUUCCUGCAAUAAAGGCUGUUGAGAAGAACCCAACAGUGUUGCGUCUUCCUUGCUGGUCGAGGUGGGUGCAACAACUGGUGGCCAUGUACGGAGACCCGAGACAAUUCUCUUUUCUCGUGUGGGUUCAGAACUUUCCAGCCUCAGGACUGCUACGUCACUAAGUUCCCGGAUGGGACAAUAAGGCUCCCGGAUAGGGGACUAUAAGGCUCCCGGAUAGGGGAUGAUAAGGCUCCUGGAUAGGGGCCAAUAAAGCUCCUGGAUAAGGGAAUAUAGAAUUCCCUAAUAGGACAAUAAGGUUCUCUGGAGUAAGCAGAGACGAUGAAAGCCUUGGUUUAGAGGUUAAAAAGUCUGUGGUCUAGGAUUUGUAAUUUUGUUUCUUCUUUGUGUGGUGAAUUUGUUUUUCUUUUGAAUUGCUACCACCCUGGGCAUGAGUGCAUUUUCUGGGAAGAGCCCACUAAUGAUGAGGUACAAGAUCGUGUGUAAAUAAACACGCCAGCUCGCCCUGCUCGUAAAUCGAUCAUAAAUAAGGUCGUAAAGCAUGGGAAACUCACACUCCACCCCGCUCCUGUCAGCUCUUCAGGAGCUUCUUGGUCAGCAUAAGCUUAAAAUCGAAAAGAAAGUCCUGUUGAGAUUUUCUGAUGAAUGUAAUUGUUGUGCUCCGCGGUUUAUAGUGUCAGGGUCGCUCACUUUAAUCGCGUGGGACAAAUUAGGAAAAGAUCUGGAUAGGGAAACUACAGAGGGCAAGCUUAAACCAGGGACAAAGCC
Molecule: non-coding RNA, 21152 nt
Organism: Rattus norvegicus (Norway rat)
Lineage: Eukaryota; Metazoa; Chordata; Mammalia; Rodentia; Muridae
Source: RefSeq, a predicted model, not a curated record